GGCCGCCUGGCGAAAUGGUAUCGCGUCUGACUACGAUUCGUAACCAAGUUUAUCAGGAGAUUGCAGGUUCGAGCCCUGCGGUGGUCA
Molecule: transfer RNA, 87 nt
Filed under: Rhizoctonia solani AG-1 IB
Lineage: Eukaryota; Fungi; Basidiomycota; Agaricomycetes; Cantharellales; Ceratobasidiaceae
Rfam family: tRNA
About the family: Transfer RNA (tRNA) molecules are approximately 80 nucleotides in length. Their secondary structure includes four short double-helical elements and three loops (D, anti-codon, and T loops). Further hydrogen bonds mediate the characteristic L-shaped molecular structure. tRNAs have two regions of fundamental functional importance: the anti-codon, which is responsible for specific mRNA codon recognition, and the 3' end, to which the tRNAs corresponding amino acid is attached (by aminoacyl-tRNA synthetases). tRNAs cope with the degeneracy of the genetic code in two manners: having more than one tRNA (with a specific anti-codon) for a particular amino acid; and 'wobble' base-pairing, i.e. permitting non-standard base-pairing at the 3rd anti-codon position.
Source: Rfam by way of RNAcentral